ACCAAUAUAAAUAACAGCCACCAAUAUAAGUGGUGGUAUAGGUAUAAGUUUACUAUAUUUAUAUUCAACCCAACAAUAUAAAUAGGAUUGUAUAAUUUGUAAUCAAUUAAGUAGAAGAGUUAUAUCUUUUAUAAACACAUUUUAUUCUCUUUUAUCUUCUCUGCACUAUCAGCACAAUUAUCUAAAAAUAUCUAACAAA
RNAcentral lists this long non-coding RNA (199 nucleotides) under Daucus carota (carrot). RNAcentral's name for it is "long non-coding RNA (DCAR_LNC003780)". Lineage: Eukaryota; Viridiplantae; Streptophyta; Magnoliopsida; Apiales; Apiaceae. The record is from RNAcentral.